This 104-nucleotide microRNA precursor is filed under the name Marmota monax (woodchuck). The record is from RNAcentral. Lineage: Eukaryota; Metazoa; Chordata; Mammalia; Rodentia; Sciuridae.
ACAUGAGUUACCAGGGGUCUUGUUUAAAUGCAGAUUCCCCUACAUUAGGGUUGGGGUGGAGCCUGGGAUUUUGCAUUUCUAACAAGCUCCCAGGUGAUGUUCAU